GCGGCGCCCAUUGUGCCCGGCCCGCCGCCGGGCCGCCCCUGGGCCGCCCCGAACCUGCCGGCAGCCCUCAGCGCGCCCGACGGCCCGGCUCUGCAAGUUGGGGCCCGCGCCUGCCUCCCGCCCGGGAAGCACGUGAACUUGGAGAAAGUCGCGGGGCGCGCCGGCCCGGACCUCCGCGGCAGGGCGUGGGCGCCCCCAGCCCGAGCGCUUUCGUUUUCGUCCCGGACAAAGGUCCCUCGAGGCGCUAGUCGCGGACGCGGAGACCGGGUUCUGCCGGCCGCUCCUCGGAGAGGUCCGAUGGUUCCAUACGGCCAAGUCGGAGUCAGGAGAGGAGGAGCGGCGCGGCGCGGGACCGGGGGAGUGGGGCCUGGCCGUGCGCUUCGCCCGGCCAUCUCCGUCCCGGAGCCGUCCCGCCCUGCGAAGAGUUGCGGGAGAUGGCACCGCGCUGCACUCUGCGAUUUACACGCGUGGAGGAGAGAAGCGUUUGGGACCCGGGCUCAGACCCACGGCCCAGGGCCUGUGCCGUGUGGGCAUGAGAGCGCGGCGCUGGCUGCGUCCGGGCGCGUUCCUCCGCCAAGGGCAGGGCAGCCGACCUGUGUGUCCCCGGUCACGAUCGGGUUCCGGGCGACUCCUGAGGGUGGUGGCUCACACACAGGCCCAGCCGGCGGCCCUGGGGAGUUUGUGGGGAGCAAGAAAUGGGUGAAGGAAUGCGCGUUUGCCGUAAUUACAGGGUUGUAAGGACUAAUCUGAGGGGCUUGUGAGCCCACCUCAUCGGGGACGGCGUGGCAGCGCCCGAUGGACAGGCCUGAGCCCUGAGCACCUGCAGCCCACGGAGGGAGGACUCCAGAACCUGACUCAUUCCAGAGCACCCCCAAGGAGGCAGGACCCAUUUUGGCCUUCAGGAGACCCUCCAGGACUGCAUAGCCCAGGACUCUCGCCUUCUUCCUGCCUCCUCAUCCUGCAGGCGACCCCUGAAAGUCACGUUGAUUCUGCCUCCCUCAGGUCAGUACUGCAUUUUGAACCUUGAAAGUCAGGGCUCCCCCUUCCCCCAGACACCCCCCAGGCCUGGGCACGUCUGAAAUGGGACACGCGUGUGUGCACGCACACACACACGUGCACACCCACACAGCUUGUGGAGGACUGAGGAGCCGGGCAGGCUCAGCUGGGUCUGCUCUGGCCUCGGCCCUGACCUGCCACCGACCUCUUUCUAUAGCCAAGGGACCAAGGUCUGCCAGGAGUCAGGGGCUUGCCCAGGACUCUUGCCCCAGGAAGCUGGACUCGGGCCCGUCUUUCCGGCUCCCUUCUGCACAGAAGUUGAGUGCAGCCCCUUCUGCAAGGAGCCAUCUGUCUCGGGGGUCUGUGGUGGGAGGGCUUGGGCCAGCUGCUGGGACGGUCUGAAGUGUCUGUGGAGUGGGCUGAGUGCAGGGGCUCAGCAGGUGUAAAGGUCCUCAGCCUGCCACUCCCUAGCUCAGCCACCCCGUGGCCCUGACGGGGGCCUGUCGUGCUCAGAGCCCCUGCCCACGCUCUGCUCCUCCAGAGAGCCGGCCUGCGGGGCAGAGUGUAGGGCCCACUUGGCUGAGUCUAGCCUCCUGGGGAGUCCGUGGGGCCAUGUGGGCCAGACAGGCGUCACCCCUCCCCCCACUGUUGCCAUGGCCAGGGGCAGGCCUACCUCCCAGGUCCGUGUUCCCAGGCUGUUGCGUCUGGGCUCAGGACCCCUCUGCCAUCUGGGCCCUGUGUGUUUACAGGUCCAGCUUGCUCGAAAGAGUCUGCAGACGCUGCCCCGGGGCUUUUGUGUCUGCACGCAGAGCGUGUGCCAGCCGGGGCCCGUGGAGGGGGGGUGGAACGUGGGUGGGGAGAGGGGGAGGCCCCCAGAGGACGUGGGACAGGGGAAGGGGGACGUGAGGGGAGGAUAACAGAGGAAGGGGACGAAGGGAGAAAGCAGAGCAGGGCGCGGAGAGAGAGGAGACAGAGCAGAGCGGUUAGAAGCUGUGGGAGGCUGUUGCUGGGGAAACGGGGCCUGAGGGUGCAGCUGGUCCCAGAUGUCCCCAGGGCCUGUUGGGCUGUGCCCCAGGCCAUCUAGUCCAGGUGCUUUCCUGGGCAUCCACUGUGAAAUCUCCAGCCGUGGUAGCCUCCGGGCUCCCGAUGAGACCCAUACCCGCGGAGGGAUGUUCCUCAUGCGGGCUUGAGCACCAGAACAUGCACCUGGGCCCUGAGUCUCCAAGCUCUGAUGGACACGUGCAGGAGGCCACGGGGUGGGUCCCCAGGAACAUGGGCAGAGGUCCAAGGAGACAGGGCCAGCCCACCUAGGAGGCCAGAAGGGCUCCUAGGCUAAGGCAACAGGGCCCGUGCACAGCAGCUGAGGCCCAGGACAUAUGGGGAAUGGCCUGGGGGGGUGACAGGCCUGGGAGAGUGGGCUCUCCCAGGGCAGAACUCGUAGUCCCCACACUGUGCAGUGGAUGGAAUGCAUGCAGAUCAAUGCACACAGUAGGUGCUCAUUCUCUGCUCACCCGGAGCCUGAGUAGUCACCAGUAUGACUGUACAGCCGUCGCUGCAGGGGUGAGGACAUGCUCAGGGCCAGAGGGGAGGGCCACGCUCCUGUGCGCACACGCGGUCGGUAGCCCCAGCACUACCAGCAAGGUGGGGCUCACCAUCUCCAUUCUGUUCGGCCAGAAACAGGCUGGUGGCUGGGCAUAGCUCAACACUGGCCUCACCCGUGUUCGCGGAGGGUCAUUGGGACAAUGGAGCCCUUUCAGGAUGCUGGGCUGGGAGGUGCCGAUGGUUUAUGGGGGACGGUGACUCGGUUGGUGGGAUUUGUUUGGGGACUGACUCGGUAUUGUUCUCCGUGAAGUCUGUGCCGACUUGGCCCAGGAUGGGGAGAAGUUUGGGCACAGGAGGCUCCCUCCGUCUCUAGUGCCUUCCCCUGUGCUGAGCCCCUGGUGCCUCCCCAGGCCCAGUGCAGACAGGAGCCACGUGCCUCUGCUCAGCGCCCAGUGGUGCCUUGUUCCCUGAAGGGACGUGGCCCUGCCAGCCUCAGCACCCUGGGCUCCUGGGGACAGACGGGCUGCCCUGGUUCCAGAAGAACACUGCAUGGCCGGGCCACACCGCGGAGCCCCCGCUGCUGGCUCCAAGGCUGACCUGUGCCUGGUGCCCACGGCCGAGGAGGGACAGAAAUUUAUUCUAAUGCUAACCGUCUGGAUAGCCUUUAUUUGCCCAGAUAGAAAUUAAGGCCUUAAAAAUACCUCAAGUUUGAUCUUUUGAUCCGAGUGAAAAUAUUGACAAAAUGCAGAACGAUGGGCUUCAUUCAGGGCUUACGUCUCGGUUCCAAGCAGCGCUCUGGCUGGGGGUGGUUAACCUGAAACGGGAGGAGAGAUGGGACACGCGGACCCUCUGAGGACGGGUGGCAAGGAGAGCCUGUCCUGCGAGCUGCACCUGACAAAGCCGCCUUCCGUUCGGGUGCUGGUACUGUGCCAGGCCCUGAGCUGGACCCCCCUCCUGUAAGAGCCAUCACUGCUGCUGACAGCCCUGCUGGGGGGCGCCUUGGGGGGCAGAGGCUCAGGGAGGUCCAGGGGCCAGCCCCAGACCACCAAGCCAACCGGCAGCAGAGCAGGGGCCUGGCCCACUCAAAAGCAGAAGCACUUCUGGGUUCCAGGAGUGUGUGGCUUCCCUUGAGGUACCAGGCUGCUGGAUGCUAAGAGGCAGCCUCCCUGGGGGGCAGGCAGGAGGCAGGGGACAGGGUCUCCAGCUCAGGCCCUCCGUGCAGUGGUGCCCAGGGUGGGCUAGAAGGUUCUUCCCGCCAUCUUGCCACUGGAGUGAAACCAAGCGGCUCCUAGACCCAGUGCGGCUGGGAGUGUCCGGGGCUGCUGUCUGUGCUCCGCGGUCUGGGCUCAGCAGGAUGCUUGGCUUCAGACAUCUCCCUGGUUAGAGGCCUUGUUCCCCAGUUGUCCUGGAGCUGCAAGGCCAGCGGACCAGCUCUGGGUGGGAAAGCAUGGGCUUCUACUCUGCUCAGCAGCCUGAGGUCCCUGCCCCAGCACGCCUGAGUCUGAGCGGUUCUUCUCCAAGAACACCUGCCCACCGAGCCUGGCCGGCCUCGGAGGACUGGGGAGCCAGGACACCCCUGCUGUCACUUGGAGGAAGAGAAAGUGAAUGUCUCAGACGUGGGGCUUCCUGGGGUCACCUAGUACAGAGGGGUCUGGUCCUUCUUAGCAGCAUGACCUGGCCAGUAAAUGGAGACGUCGGUGGGUUUCUGUUUGCUCGUGCCUAAAACACGGGAGGAGGCGGCCUGUCUCGGCUGUGUGUGGGGAGGUAGCUUAGCCUCCCUCUGCUAGUCUCUCCUCCGCGGAUCGGGCUGUAAAGGGGGCGGACGGGGGCGCUCGGUGCAGUCGGCUCAGGUUGGUGCCUGGCAUGCGGCGGGUGUGCGGUGUCUGCGUUUGGCCCUUUUGCCACGGGGAGCACAUGCCCAGGAAAAGGCACACACGUUGGCAGCAACAUUGGGCAAAUGGGGAUUUGAACCAGGGCUCCCGGGAGAGGUCCUCCAUGUCCUCCUUGAGGACAGCACCUUGUUCACGCUCUGCAGGUUGUCAGGACCACUGUGGUCACAUGAGCGACGGGGACUGUGUCAUCUGCCCUCCACACCACUGUCGCCACGGCAGCACCCACCCUGUAGGAAAGGUGUGGGGCUUCCCUCCCAAUCCCACCCUCCUGUUUCUUGACACAGGCCCGGGCCCUGGCUCUGGAUCAGCCCGUCCCCAUCAGAGCACAGGGCCUGGGCUCUGUCCCCGCGCGUGAGUUGCAUCUCCCUGGACGCAGUGCCCUUCGAGUGUCCCACGCUGGCCUCAGCCAGAGCCAGGGCACAGAGAACCCCUGGGCCUCAGUCUGCUGCUCUCAGGUUUUCACUGUGCAUCAGCAGGGAGGAGGCCUGUGGCUGGCCCCGUGGCCCCCAGAGCAGUCCUGCUUGUGUCUGCCAUACGUUUGGGGUCCUGAGUGACAUCUGGUAAAGAUAUGGAGACCACGGGCAGGGCAGAGUCAUAAAGACACGGGCGCUUGGUGUGUACCCGCUGCCUGGCGGGCUGUGCUCCAGAGAGGCCAGGUGUCUGUUGGGGCAGCUCCUUGGGUUCCCAGAGAUCACAAACAAGGGGGUGGAUGCAGGACGGGAGCCUCGAGGCCCCAUCAGGCAGGUGCUGCAGGAGCUCAGGGAGGGGGAUGUGGCCAGGCGUCCCCGAAGCUGGUCUUGCUGGUGUCCCCGUGGCGCUGCCCUGGCAUGGCCGGUCCUGCCAGCUGUCCCUGUGCCUGCCGGCAGUGGGCAGGAAGAAGCUGCCAGCCUGGACCACAGGGUGGGAUGUGCUGGGAUGUCCCUGGAAUGCAGGGCAGCCCUCAGGCCAUCUGGUCCGAGGCCACCCCGCGUCGGGCAAGGAAAGACUACCGUUUGCGGGGCUGGGGCAGAGGAUGAUUUUCACCCGGAAGGAGCCCAGGCCUGGGAGGCCAGGAGCCUACGCUCACCCCGCCUCUCAGCGUCACCGCCUCGCACUGGGCCGCCCCUCUGUAAGGCAGGAGAGCAUCAGUGCCACUGCCCAGGCCAAGAGCUCAUCCCCAGGACCACCCAGAGCCCCUCAAAGGGGUGAGGGUGCCUCUGGCAGCUCAGGGUGGCCGGGGGCCUGGGCUGGAGGAAGGUUCCAGAGAGGGCACUGCCUGCCGCCCUCUCUGGCCAGGCCCUCCUGGGCCUCCGUGCAGGCCAGGCGGCCACACUUCCAGAGUGGAUGUCCGUCCUUCCUGCCCCCGGCUGCCGGCUGCCUUUGUCUUCCUGGGGCUGCACAAAAUGGCCGCUGCAGCCCUCCGCCAUUUUGUGUGUGAGGCGGGCGGGCGGGCGGCCCGGCGGGGGAGGAGGGAGGGAGACCACUGCCCGGCCGCCUGCCCCGAGUGGCCUGGACGGAGCCCAGCACCAGCCCCCGCCCCAGCCUGGCCUUGGCCGCGGCUGCCCUGGGCUUGGCACCAGCGCGCGUCUUGGCAAGGCCGUCCGGGAACCCCGGCCCUUCACCCAGCCUGGCCGGCCCCCUCGCCGCCCCCCAGACUUCCCUGAUGAGCAGACGGAGAUGCUGCGAAGCAGAGCCCAGAAGAGCUGUAAUUAAAGCCAUGCUCCUGGAGGGAGUCCUUGGCAGCCACGGGCCGACACGGAUGUUUCUAGAAAUGACGCUCACCCGAGUGGGUGGGGGUGGGCUCCCCGGACUCACUGCGACAGGGCCGGGUCUUUUCCAGGCCACGCUGGGGAGAGGAGCCCCGCGCUCAGCCCUCUGCUCGUCACCCCACACCCUCACCUGCCUGGGGAGCCUCUGGGCCCCCUGGUGGGGCCGUGUGCUGGGCCCUAGGCUCGUGGUGGUCGGUCAGGUUUCCGGUCUGGACUCAGGUCCUGCCUGUCCUCAGGAAGCAGGGACAGGGGGCUUCCUGGAGGAGGUGAGCUUGGUGCCAAAAGACCAGGGUGCCACCCUGCAGCUGGGCUUCCCCCGGGGCCUGAGCCAGCUUACUCUUCAUUGCACAGAGCUGGGGGUGAACCCCUUGCAGCCCAGCCCCCUGCCCCGCACAGUCCUGUCUUCUGGGGGACACACAUCCCCUAGAGCCAGGCUAUCCUGAAGAGCGUCUUUCCAGAGCUGGGAGCCAGCGGGCACCUGAGGCCUCCUCCUGCACUCCCGCUCCUGCUCUGGGCCCGGCAUUAACAAGCUUAGCGCUCUGCCCGCGCCCAGCGGGUCAGCACGUUGUGGGGGAGAGACUGUCACGCAAGCAGCAGGCUGCCUGGCAUCCGGGGGCCUUGGCGGUGGGGACUGGGCAGCCAUAGAGGAGACACCCUCGUCUCUGGAGCCAGCACCGGGCCCCUCGCUGUGGGCCACCGUGCACCACUGGCCUUGGCAGGUGGGUGGGAGCGGCGUGCCUCCGCACCUGCCCCCAGUGCCCGGUGUUGAGGUCCUCCGAGGGCCGCGCACCUCCUAGACGAACUUAGACGUGACCUUGCACAGAAGCAGGGAGCGGCAUUUGAGGAGUGCACGUUUGAAGGGGCUGACGCUGUUUCUCAUGCAGCGUGGAGUAUGCAAGGCGGACCUGGGGGCUUGGCCCCGAUCUGUGUCGUCUGCAUGGCUGAGGGUCAGUUCCGCCCCGUCAAGAACACCCAGGGAGAGCUUGGGCAGCAGGGUGGGGCCUCGGGAGCUGCUCGAGGCCUCCCGCAGACACCUGUGGGGCAGCCAAGCCCUUCAGGCUGGGAGGGUUGCAGGACGCUGCCCCAGGCCCUUCCCAGACGCUCUCUUGCUGCAGUUCCCAGAGAGAACAUUCCUUCACCGUUAAGGGAGGUUUACUCAUGGCCUGGCUCCCUCCGGGGAGUCUGUGGCACAGGAUGGUGGCCACGUGCCAGGCCGGACCCAGCACCUCUCGGGGGAACGCAGAGCCCCACGGCAGAAUGAGCGUCUCGGAGGGGACUGUGCCAGCUGGGCCUGCUGUGGGUGGGCUUUCGUGCUGGACGGUUUUAAUGAUAAGUACGCAUCCGGUCCCCUCCCUUACCCCUGCUCCUCGCCUUGUGACCAGACUAGCUUGAACUGAGAGCACUUCAGAUAGAUGCGCCCUUUGAGGCUGACACCGUUGCCUAAUGAUUACCACCACACGGAGACACCAGAUCGGAGGGGCUCGCCUCCGUGCUUCUCCCCUUGGAGUCCAGGCAAACCCUGCAGUGGCGAACACCUGCUCUCCCCGCUGACACCCCUCCCCGGGCACAGAGGCCCCCUGACCUUCCUCCCGAUGGCCCUGGCGUCCUGGUCCCACGCUACAGAGCGGGCAGCUGAGGCCAGACGUGCUGACUUGCCCCAGGCUCAUCACUGCUCGGUGCCAGAGCCGGGGUCAGAGCCAUGACCUGUGGACCUCAGAGCCAGCUGUCCCUUCUUCCCCAUGCCCAUGGCCCCCAUGGAGGCUGGUGUGUCUGCAGAGCCAGCCAGCCUCCCCGGCCAGCACCUGCCUCCUGGCUUCCCAAGGGCUGCCAAGUGUUACUUUUGUGGGCCUCCAGACUCCCACAUCUGUGGCCCAACUGUCCAGCCUCCGCGGCGUGCCCGGCCGCCUCCACCCUGCCAGCUUGGAGGUCUCUGGGCGCGGGAAAGCCGGGAGCUGGAGCAGGACACAGGCUUCCGAGGUGCCCACUGUGGCGGGGGUCGGGUGCAGCUGGACACAGAGGGUGCAAAUAAGAGAACGCUUUGGGGCCCAGAGACGGAAGGAGGGCUGGGGUCUGUCCAGAGCCAUGGGGCUGGGGUGGGGUCUCCUGCCUGGAGGUGCCUCUUCCCCACCUGCGUGGCUUGUGCCUCCGAGAGGGACGCGGGGCUGUGGAAAGAGCUUAGCGUCAGGGAAAUUCGGAUUCUCGAUCGGUUUUGCUACUCUGUCCCCGGGGUGUGCUGUUGGGCGCGGUGAGGCCUCUGCCCCUUGUACUCCCCGGGUGGCUGGAGCCUGAGGCAAAAGGAGCAGUCAGUAACCCGGCUCGGAUCUGUCUGUAGGUUGGAUGUUUUUAUACCACGGACACUUUUGCGUUCAUUCUUAAGACUUUUACUUUAAGAUAUUUGUCUUGAUUGCUGAGUUUUGGCGCCCCAGAAAUGGUGUGCCCGAGGUGCAGGUCUGGCCGGCCUCCCCACGUCCUGGCCAUGCCAGGCCCAUGGUGGGCACACAGCCCCCUGUCCCGGCCCAGGUCGAUCACACUGCCAUCUCCUUAACUUAAGGCCGUGUGUGCAGGGAGACCCACCCCCCGCCCGGGCCCCCGGAUGCCACCCCCAUGUCUUUUUUCCAGACUCCAUUGUUGGCACGGCUUGCCGAGCAGAAACACUGGCCGCUUUAUGGGGAGAAACCUAAUCGGGGCGGCAGUGGGGGGGGGACAGCGGCUGGGGGGGGGUUCCCGGCUCUCCAUGGCCCUGAGCCAAGCCCGAGGUGACUGCGGGGUGACACCGUCUGUCUGCCUCCCUUGCUCCAGACAUCCGCCCAGCCCUGAAAGGGCCACCUGCCCACGAAGGCCUCCCACACACCUGUCCCUGGCUGGCCUGGCUCCUCCCACCCGGUGCUGCCCAGCACCCCGCCUGUAGGCAGACGCCGCGGGACCGGGCGGGCUGGUGCUGGCAGCUGGCAGCCCUGCUUGGGGAGCCCCCUUCACAGUGCGUGGUCUGCCCCCCUCUGCCAGGUCUCAUCUGGGCCGAUUGGCAGGGGUCCUUUUGGUCUGUCUCAGGAGUCCCACUGUCUUCCCAGAAAAGAGGCCCCUCCCCAGGCUGAGGCCCAUGGUGACCCCUAGGACUGUGGGGCACGGAGGCCCAGCAAAUCCUCCCCUCCAUCUCAGACACACCAGCGUGGGGCUUCUGCCCCAGUAGCUCAGAAAUGUCCCCACAAAUGGGUCAUAGACCCAGAAAUGUACAUCCUAACCCCCCCCAACCCGGGUUGUUGGCUAAAGAAAACCACGUUGUGUGUGAGCCCUCUCUCGGUAUGGGCAAAGCCAGAGCGGGGAUCCUGCUGCGGGUCACGAUCCCUGCUCACCUAGAGGAAUUGGAAGGCAGCGGCAAGCCUGCGGGGAAGCCGCCCAGGCCCUCGGGAGAGAGGAAUGCCGCCACGGCCACCAAGCACCUCUCCCCCCUGCCUUGCCACCUGCCGCAGGGCUGGCUCUUCCCGAUGUGAGGCCUGGGGCCCCCGAGAGGACGGCUGGCCCCAGAGCUGGGCAGAGCUGGGAUUCCUCGUUGGGGCCUCCCAUGGCUUCUGGAGAGGCCCACACAGAUAGGAGACAGGGCCCUCGUGGGCACGCAGCUGGAAGAACUGGGGGCGGUCUCCCCUGGCAGAGGACAAACAAAGACAGAUGGGCCGGGGGGGUCAGAGGCGGCCUGCCCUGGGCAUUUUUCUGCUCCAGAGGCUGGUGUAGGGGAGCCGGGGCUGGGCAGGGACUUGGUGGGAAAAAGCAGAGGUGCGGGCCUGGGGGGUCUGGCUCCGAGUGUGGCAUCUCGGGCUCAGCUUCCAGCCCUCCGAGUGGUCAGCAGUCCAGCCAUGUGCUUGUCUUCUAUCGCGUCCUUUCCUUGGAGGACCUGUGUGGCUGGCUCCCGUUCCUCAUGCCAGUCCUGGCCGGUCAUCCGGCUGGAAUGGGCCGGGGCCAGGUGCGGCAGUGAUCCAUCCAGCAAGGACUGGCUGAGGCCUCGGGGCGGGUUUCUGGAGCCCCUUCCUCAGGAUUUCUGCUCUCAGGAUUUCUGCUCUCAGGGGGGUCCCAGGCCUUGCUUGCCAUGGGACAGGGGCCUCAGCCUGGCCAGAGCCUCCUCUGUAAAGUGGGGACCCCAGCUCCUCCCUCUUGGGGUCCCACCAACUCCAGGCCCCAGGGUGUCCACGCGAGCUUGACGGGCGCUCGCUGCCCAGCCCGGGAAUGUCGGGGGCCCUGACUGUUGAGAGACAAGGCCUGAGUCUCAGUCCUCUUUGGCCCAGAACUAUCCAGCUGCGGGUCUGCAGAGGCUCCCCUCCAGGCCCUUGCAGGGAGCGCGUCCCUGGCGAGAGGCCGCUCAGGAGUGCAGGAUGCAAGGGCUGGCAGGUGCGUCGGGGGGAGGAGGCCCAGAGCAGCGCCCCGAACUCCGAACUCCGUCCUGCCUUGGGGCCUGGCUGCGUCUCUCAAACCUGACGCUUGUCACUCUUUUCCUAAAUCCCGAACAGGUCAAGAAGUGGUGCUGAUCUGGGGGCUUCUGUCCGUGGUCGGCCUUCCUCACCGUGAGUGUGUAUUAGGGCAGGGCUCCGGUCCGGGCGGCUCGGGCAGGCUCCACCCUGCAGGGCCCCCUUCCCCCUGCCCUGCUCUGGCCAGCCUAGCCUGAACCCGCGGGAGGCCUCGCGCUGUCGUCCCGCUGGGCACAGGUCGGCGAGUCUGCCACCCCAGCCUCCGUGUGGGUGCGCACCUCGGUGCCUCACAGGAUGACCUCUGGCACCCCCGCACACCUGUCCCGCCGUCCUCGCUCGAGGAGGGAUGUGGUCAGAGCUGUGUCCCUUCCGUUCACCUCCAGGUCCUGCCAUCAGGCAUGGGGGUCCUUGAUGGGGAUCUGGGGGUGCCACAGCCAAACCUUUGUCCAAGCCGUACCCUCCACCUGCAGCCACACCCCUCUGCCUCCUGCCGCUCUGCAGUCCGGAGCUGAGGCCCAGGACGCGCCCUUGCACUUGUGAGCUCGUCACUUCUGGCGGUUCUCUGUGGCCUCCGCCCUGACUGGAUGUGGCCUGAGAGCCGUGGUCUGUUACAGAGUCUGGACACAGGAGGAGAGCUCAGCCCUGUCCCACUCUGCACCGUGAGGAUUCUUCUGUCCCUGGGGCUCACCGUCCAGUGCACCUGCUACCCUUGGGCUCACCUUGCCUUGAGGGCCCUUUGGGGCCAGCAAUCCUGGAGGUAGCCCCUUCUCUCUGCCCAGCUGUGAACCAGCCCUCGAGUGCAGUCCUAAUGCACCCAGGCCACCUGUCAUUGACCCGCGAUGCUGCACGGUGAGUCUAGCCUGAACAGGAACAAAGGCCAAGUAGAGGAAGCCAAGUCACGUGUGCUCCUCCCAGGCUGGGCUGGAGGCCGCUGGAGGGGGUGCUUGUGGUGGCAGCCGGGGGGGACCAGGGUGUGUGUCUCUUCCUGUCUCCCUUUCUCUCCCCGCCCCGGGGGCCCAGCACACGGGCUGGCCUCGUGUGCAGUCUGUGUCUCCCGGCUGGGGCUGGGGCCCUCCUGGAGUUAGCUCUGCAGGCCUGGAGCUAAAGCCCGGGUCUUGGGGAGGGCAGGCGGGUGCAGACCGCAGGGCAGGGUGUUGGAGUCUACGUAGUGGCACACGCAUGGAUUCCAGCUCUGGCUCAGGGCGGCCUGCUGCUACCCAGACGCCUCGAGGGGCAGCUCCUGCACUGACCCCACGUCUCAGCGAGGAAGUCCAAGCCGAGAGGGUAUAAGAUGUGCCCAGAGAAGCACAGAGGGGAGGCCAGCCUGGUUUUGCAGCCAGCUCCACCUGCCGGGCUCCCCUGCCUUGUGCUGCCCUCGGCCUGAGGGGGCCAGAGGUCAGAAUCAGGGGGUCCCUGCGACCUGAGGGCAUUGGGGUCUCGGCAGCUCAGUCUAAAGUCCAGAGGCCAUGCUUAGGGUCCCUCCCCCAGAGUCCUCUGGGACAUUCAGUGGGGAGCCCUGGGCUGGGAGCCAGGUCCUUGGCCUGUUUUCUCCCCCACAGUAUGAGGCUCACAGCAGCCAGUCACCCCACAGGGCACUUGGGUGGGCUCCAGGACACCCAGGCCUCGUUCAGGAGUGGCAGCUGCUCCUGCCUUUGGGGCUGGGCGUGAGACCUCCCACUGCAGGACUGGGCAAGGCCAAGCCCAGCAGAGCCCAAGAGCAAACCGUCCCCACCCCGACAGGGGGCCAGGGACCCCAGAGCCCACACAUCUGAGUCUGUCUCCUCAUUGCAAAACGGGAUCGGCGAUCCCAGCUUCACCAGGCCUGUGAGGAGCGCACGGCACAGCCCAGCCUGGGGCCCGCCCAGAGGAGAUAGCCUGCUGGGGGCAGUGGGGCCGUGGAAGGCGGUCUGGGGGUUGGAGAGCACAGAGCACUCGUACCAUUUCACGAGGCGGAAAGCAGAAUGUUCUAACCUCUGCCUGGCCACCUGUCGGCCGUGUGACCCUGCGAAGGCAGUGUUACCCCGCGGCCCCAGUGUGCUCACCUCUAAGAUGGACUGACAGUAGCACGCCCCUCACCAGCUUUCCCUCAGGGGUCCCCAGGAUGGUGGUGGCCAUGGUGGCAGCCAUGGUGACGUUCAUCCAGGCUGACGGUGCCUUUGGGCACGGAGUGCAGCGCCGUCCGGGCUCUCCAGCGCUGCCCCCGCUGCCUGCCCCAGGGGAGCCGGCUUCCUUGCCUGAAAGGACGAGCAGCCUCCUGGGGCCUCUCCCAAAGUGGGGGCAGCUCAGGUCGCCCUGCACAGCAGGACCAGACUGACCAGAGCCCGUGGGGAGGGCAUCCCCACCUGUCCAGUGGGCGGGGGGAGGCUGGUCCUGAGGCCACUGGCCGUCUUGGGGCAGCUGGAGAGGGAGAAGGUGGGUGGCCAGAGGGACACUUACAGCACCUUUGUGACACAUGGUCCAACAACCGAUGGUCUUCCGCCCGGCGUCACCAGUGCCAGAGAUGUCCCCUGGGAACAUUAUGGCCGUUCCUGUGCCAAUGGGAGUGAUCCAGUCAGUGGAACGGUUCCCCCAAAGCCACAUUGCGAUGUCUGUCCCCUCCCGCCCUCCCUCCGUCUCUCUCCUCUCUUUCCCUCGGGUUGGUGGUUUUCACCCGUGCAGCCCUCUCCGUGAGGCCGCUCUGGGCCGUGCGUACCCCCAGGGCUCCUGCCGGCCUGUCCCGCAGCCCCGUUUCCCGCAGCACUCCGGCCAGCCCCGGGAGGUGCCUCCGGAAGCCACGGAGCCGUCCGCGUGCCACGACUGACGGCCCUUUGGGGUGAGGUAGUAGGUUGUAUAGUUUGGGGCUCGGCCCUGCUGUGGGUGACUAUACAACCUACUGUCUUUCCUGAAGUGGCCGCAACACCGCCGAUGGACAGCGCCCGGGACCCUGGCUGGGGAGGGCAGCAGCCCUGCUGGGGUGGGGGCAGGGGCUGCCCGCCACUGGGUCUGGUAGGCCUACCUUCCACUUGCUGUGCGACCUGGGCAGGGGCUUUGACCCUUCUGGGCUUCGUUUUCCUCAUCUGUGAAAUGGGGACCAAUGAGGAUUGAAGACGAUACUGCGUGAGGCGUGCAGAGCAGGGGAGGGCUCAAAGUGGACCGUUCUGUCCCCCUACGCUGCACUGAGAGCUGGGGGGCCCAUGGGGCAGCUUGUCUCCCCCCCCAACCCCCACUCCCUGCAUCUGGAAUGUGUCCUUCUCUUCAUCCCUGUGGCCGGCAGUGGGCACCAGGGGGAACAGCCCUGGACCCAGAGGAUGAGCCUGAGGUUGCAGGGCAGGCCCCCAGGGAGGCCCCCAGGGAACCUCCGCACCUCCCCCCUCCCCAGCAUCCUCGCCUCCCUGCCCAGCUCAGCAUCAGGCCUCUGAUCAGCGAUGGCCCCUCCACUGGAGAGGGGCCUGAGGCCUCCCCAUCCCUCGCCACUCACCAUUCCAGGUAGGAAGUGCGAGGAGGGUUCUGUGAGCACUCUGUGGCCCCUCGGGGACACGAGCCCCCUCCACCCCACCCCUACGACCUGCAGGUGGAUGGUGUGGGCUGCACCGUCUGCGCCAUCUGCAUUGUCCCCCCUGCCCUGCGCCUGCCCAGCCUUCCAGCUCGGCUCUGGUGGCCACUGACCACCAGGCAGGGGCUGGGGCUGGGCGUGGGGCAGUGGGGGGACAGCGGACCCUCCCGCCCCCCGGGCACCGGCGGGGUGAGGUAGUAGGUUGUGUGGUUUCAGGGCAGUGAUGUUGCCCCCUCGGAAGAUAACCAUACAACCUACUGCCUUCCCCGAGGAGCCCAGCGACACGUCCCCACGGGAGGGCCCGCCCCCGCUCCCAGCAGGUGACUCGGGCCUGAGCCACAGGCCAGGUGGGUGGAGGCCGUGGCGUGCACACCUCGACUUUAAUAAAAGCUGUUCUGAUGUGAAUCCGGAGUCCUGCCCUGUUUUUUCCAAAAGCCCGGGACAGUGGGUCGUGGAGGGCGUGCACACGUUGGCGGUGUUGCGGGGCACAUCGGCCGUGGAGGAGUGUGUGGCGUGGCUGGGAGCCGUGUCCGGACUCUGGGGAUCAGCACACUUGCCCAGGCGCAGAGGCCCAUGGGCCCUUCCAGUGGGUCCAGUCCUGGACCCCAGGCCCCCGACGUGUCGCUCAGUCCCCGUCCUGUGGAGAGACCCCCAUAGAACCUGCAGGCGUCGUGGACCCCAGUCGGCAGCUGCAGGCACAGGCCGGGGCCCAGCCUCCACGGUCACCUCAGCGCCGGGUGCUCGAUCUGAGCCCGGACGUUCCCAUCUCCUGCGCUUGGCCCCCUCAGGACAGUUUCUGGGGUAGCCCUCAUUUCUGGUGUCCACUCUUGGGCCAACUCUCUUCCCAAGAGUCCACUCAUGUUUCUCCCAGGGGUCUCAAGCCUCACGUCGACGGCCGCUGCGACCUUGUCCCCACAAUUGCAGAGUCUGGGAACUAGAAGAGGCCUGUGCAUCCUGACGGAGCACGGAGCACUGAGCACUCCCCUCGGGCAGGCGCUGGCCUGGCUGAGGCCACGUCCUGCCCCCGUGCCGUGGUGCCUGGCGCAGACCCGAGGAGGCACCACGUUCCCUGGCUGGGGCCGGCCCCCCGAGUCUGCCCACGGCCCCCCGUGAGAGGUAACUCCAGGCUGGCUCCUGCCAACAGCACCGGGCACACCAAACUGGACGCCAGCACAGUCCUCCAGUGCGCCAGCCUGACGGGGACAGGCAAGACGCGGACAGUCCUCAGACAGUGAUCCGGGAUCGGACUCUGGGGCAGGGACCAGAGGCGGCUCCUGACUGAGCCAGGGGCCCACAGGGGCCCAGACUGAGACGGGCAGUUCUUGGUCAGGUAUGUGGCAGCCCGAGGCCUUGGCGGGAGCUUCCUCCUGGUGCCCCGGCCCCUCCCACCGUGACUGUCCCCAAGCCACCAUCUUGGCCCCAGCCUCCAUCCCGAGCACCCUGGCCUCCUGCUGCUGGGCUUCUCCAGCUCGAUACCCAUCGCGGUCUGCUUGCUCUGAGAGCUGCUGCUGCACUCUGGGUCGGGGAUGGUGGGAGCCCAGAGCAGAAGUCUUCUGACACCAGGGGCCAUCUGAGCUGGAUCUUGACGGCCUUGUGGGAGUUUGCAGCAGGAGCCAGAGAAGAGGCCAUCCCGGGGGCGUGCCCCAUCAUCCCUUCUGCCAUCGUGCUGUGGCAGCGGGGUGGGUGACAAACUGGGGCACUGACUUCGUCCUCGCUCACAGUCGGUCAGUGGCGAGUCUGGCCGCUUGUGGCCAUUUCUAUUCCUGCCUUCUCUGCACCCCCCUCCCUCUGCCCUCGGAGCUUCUUUGUCCAGACCCUUGGCCUCCUGUGCGCAGCCCCGUGCUCACACCUGCGCAUGUUCGCACCUGGACCCCUCCUGCUCCGUCAGGCUCCUUGGGGCUCUGAGCGCACAGCCCCUUCCUCCGCAUGUCCGCAGCUCAGGCACCACCUCUGACCACAGUCGUCUGGGUCUAAGCCAAUGUCCUGAGUUCAGCCUUUCCUCCCGACUCCUCCGCUGUGCCCAGCCCUGCAGCUGGAGCUCACAGACUGGUGGGGAGCUGCCAGGGACAUGCAGCAGCUGCUCCGUGUGGUCAGCUCUAUGGUUGGGGCAGCUCAGGGGCUGGGAGACCUGGACCAAGCCCUGUAGUCAGGGACGGCUUCCUGGAGGAUGUGAUUUACCAGGAUCACCCAGUGUCCCUUCCCACAUUCCAGCCAACCUUCUGUCUGUCCUCUGCCACCUGGCUAUCCCUAGAGACAAGGGUGUCAGAACCCACCAAAAUGUGAGCCUGAGUGCCACAGGGAGAGGAGGGGGCAGGGGGGCACGGUUCCCCAUCGUGUGGCUGUCAGCGGUAUGUGGAAACAGUUCAGUCUUGAAACACACCAGAUGGUGUCAUCAGCCUGGUCGAAGCCACUAUUUUAUUCUUGUCCCCUCAUCCAGGGCGGGGAGGCCCCACCGGUGGCAGAAAGGGCCCUGCCUUUGGGGACACAGGCCCAGGACGAUAGCUCUACUCCUCAAGCCUCGGUUUCCCCAUCCCACUUGGUAGGGCGGCGUGACGAUGUCAGGAGACAGCAGCUCAGAGAGCUCAGCUGGGGCUGGAGGAGGCGUAGGACAAGGCGGGGCCGGACAGGAGGACCCAAGUCCCUGCCUGCAGCUGGGCAUCUGGCGCCACCUGCUGGCCGGUCUGGGCUGCGGCACCCGGCAGGGCUCUGGCCUGGGGCGGGCCAGCAGGUGAGCUCCCUGGGCGGACUGUGAGAGCAGAGCCAGGGCUACAGGGCACUGAGGGAUGGGGCAGUCACCCAGGGCCCGGACGACGUGAGGUGGCAGAGGCCCAGCAUCUCAGGGGCCUCCCUCUCGGGGUCACGUGGCACAGCUGGCCUGUCCAUCAGCCUGGAAGGCACAGAGCUACAGCCCACAUAACUGCUAGGAGCCCACAAAGAGGUUGCAUUUCAGUUCCCUUUGAAAUCCAAAGGAACAAUGAAUACAGGUUUCCCCUGCCAUCCGAAAGUACGAUGUUCCCUAGGAAAGUUUCCCUAAACUGCAAUGGCAUAAAGCAAAGUUGCAGUUAACCAUUAAUUUAUAUGAAAAAAAAAUGUUAGAAUGUUCCAGACCUAAUAAAUCACCUCUCUUAGACUUUUCUGAUACUCUUAGGACACGUCCUGCUAACGGAUGCACAAAAUAACUCGAGAUCAAGCACAGAUGCUCGCAGACACGGUUCAGAGCUGCGGCAGCUGGAUGCAGAAGGCGUCUCUGGGAAGGGGCUGGCUGGGGCCGUUUGCGGCCCUGCUGCUCGGGGCACGCACUGAGUCUGCACCGGCUCGCUGUGAAACCAAUGCUGAAUGCUAUUUUCCCUUUUCCCUCUUUUUUUCCCCCAUGAAAACUGAACUCCUCUUUGGAUUUUUUUCAGUUAGCAAAAACAGGUACUAAAAUAGGUCUUUUGUAAAAGCCAAAUGCCCUACCAUGAACUUCUGAAAACAUUGUAUGCACACAAUAUGUAUGGUGAAUCCUAUAAUUGUGCACAGGAUACACACGUGACCUCUACAAUAAUGGACCUGUCCUGGAUUAGAUUUCACUUUAUACCCGCCAGUCAUAGGGCAUGUUCUCUAGUGUGAUUUACGAAGGAAGGACCCAGGAAGGGAACACGCCCCCGCCCACGGCGCUAGGCCCAGCCCACCUGCAAGCACGGCUGUCGCACUGCCCCGCCAAGAGGGUGAGCGCCUCUUUCUGUCCCGCCCGCUGUCGCCCUGGCAGUGCUCUCCUUCCCCUCCCAGGCAGCCAGAGCCCAGCCGGCCGCUGCCCUGCAGCCCUGCGCGCAGACCGUGCGUUUCCCGACAGCGACACCGUGUGGCAGCAUGAGGCAUGGCAGCCAUGGGCCCGAGGCUGUGGAAGGAGAUCACCGCUCUUGGGCCAGAAGCCUCAGGUUCAAGGUCAACCCAGGGGCGGGGCCCUGGGGAUGCUUCUGCUCCUCUGGCGUGUGCGGAUGCAGCGUGUCCCCUGUAGCCCCCGCCAGCCCCUUCAUGCUCUGGGCGCACCCAGUCACCCCUGCUGUUGCCCCGUCACUGAGCGCCAAGCCCCAGGUGACACAGCCAGCGGCGUCCUGUUCACGCCACUGAGCCCUCAGCAUCACUGCCCUCCCAUUGGCACAGCCACACCCAGAGCAGACCCGUGAAGGGCACGGGCACCCUCCGCAUGCAGGGAUCCGAGCUGCGGGAACUCUGGCCCAGGCUGUCCCCAGUCUCCCCUCAGGAAGGAAGAGGCUCCCCAAGCGUGGGAGGAUGGGGGCCCUGGCUUGUUUGGAUACCUGGAGGUGGCGGUGGCCCCGGAAGAGGAGCCUGAAGGCGAAGCUGGGGCUUCGGUGGCUGGGCUGAAGAGGACGGGUUCUUGGGGGUGACCCCAGAAGGGCCUGGGUCUUGCUGUCAUGCCCACGGCCCCCUGGCAGAGACUUCAAGCCACCCAGUGUCAUUUCGCAGAGCUGGGUCUCCCGGAUGUUGUUGCCUCCUGGAGUGGGCAGGGCCUGAAGGGCCAGAGAGCACUGGGGGCCUGGGGGUCUAGGGUGUCCCCACGGAGGCUGGGUGAGGGUGCCCCACUCAGCCUGUCUCUCUCUAAAAGGGGGGUAGGGAGCAGCCAGGUUGCCCAUGUCAGACCCUGGACAGCUGGGGGCGCUGAGACGGGCCCGGGGCAAGCGGGGGGGACAGGGCCAUUCUGGGGCCUGACGGAGGUUCACGCUGUCACCCGUGUUCAGUGAUUUCUGGGGGUCUCACAUUUGUCCUGCCCCAGCAGGGUCCCAGAGUAGCCUUGUCCAGUGUUGGUGUUCUGUGAAGCUGUUUGGGUUCCUGGGGGGACAACCAGACCCAGAUGAUGUCCCAGCCCGCUCCCAGCCACCAGCCUGUUCCCGCUUUCUCAGCACUCCCCACCCCCACAGUCUCCAGCUUCCUGGCCCCCACCCCCACUAGGCUGGGGCUCCUGUGGUAUCCCCAGCACCUAGCCCGGCGCCUGGCACACUGUUGAUGCUCAGUAAACACCCAGUGAAUGAAGAAACGAAUUAGAGUGAGCACACGGUCUGCUGGGGGGAGCGCAGCACUGGGAGGGAAACCGGUGGGAGAGGCGGUCGUGCAGGUGGGCGGCAGGAAGCAGCACCUGGAGACCCAGGCUGAAGAGGAACUGGCUGUUCCCUAAAAAGGCCUUGAGAUGUUCUUAGACUCGGAGGGCUCCCUGGAUAAAUACAUCCAGGGCAACUGCCUACAAUGUCCUCUCUUGGAAUUGGUGAGCCUAUUGAAGGCUCUGACAAGGCCUGCAUGGAGAACACAGGCCUCUUAGAUUUGGUUUAACCCACAGUUUCUCAGACAGGCCUGACCAUACCCGCCAAGCUGGUCAAGUCACACCAGCCUGGCCUGGCAGCUCUGCAUUUUCCUCUGGCCACCAAGAGGAGAGAGGGCCCUAAGAGGCAGUGGCCACCAGGCUCAGGCCAACGCAGAUAUGUCCAGACCAUUGUGGUGACCAAGGAGCACCUUGAAGUGUGUGGGUUUGAGAAUCACUGGGAGGUGACCCCAUGGGAUGGGCUGGGGCUGACUGGGUGGCCCAGGCCUCUCCGGUGGACAGGGGGACGGUCACUGAGACAGAGGAGCCAGUCACUGAGACAGAGGAGCCAGGCUGGAGACAGGUCCCAAGCAGCUGAGGUUUAGGACAUCUGUGAGGAGCUCCAGGGACUGACCUUGGGGGCUCCACAUGGGCUGGAGGCCAGGCCUUUGCCCCAGAGAAGGCACGUGGGCCCGCCCUGCAAGAAGCCAGACGGCAGCACUGCGAACCUCCCUCCCUAUGCGUCCUGCCCGAUGGGCAUCCAGGAGACACCCUCGGGCUUCCUCACCACUCACCCUGGGCCUCAGGGUCAGGAAGCUCUCUCCACACCGUGCCUCCCAUGGGAGUCAGGCCUGGCUUGUGAACAGCAGCAAUGUCCCCAAGGACCAGGCCCAGCAGGGGCCUAGGAUGGGGCUUAGAGCUGGACAGCGAGCCCUGGUGUUCUGGGGGGCCCUGAGGCAGGCUGGGGGCCGGGACCCCCAAGGAAGGGAACGGACACACAGUUCCUGGUGCUUCUGUUCUUAGGUAAGGCCUCGAUCCCGGCCGAGGCAAAGCCACCACUUCUCUCUCGUGGAGGCCACCAUUAGGUCCAAGGCCGGUGGCCAUGCAGGGUGGGCCUCGGGACAGGGCAGAGCCUGGCUCGGGUGCGCCCCCCAGACCCGCUCUUGUUUACUCACGGUCACUCAGUGGGCUCUGAGAGGCUGCUAGGGACAGCGGGGCAGGGCCUUGGCUUGGCCGGAUGGAGCACAUGGACCGGACCCACCAGCAGGGGCCUGCACAAGCCCAGCUGUGACCUGAAUCCCUGCAGGACGGGGCCGGGGUCCCCAUGUGCCUUAAGCCACUUUGACCCAGCCCCCCAGCCAGGGGUCCUGAGCAAAUCUAGAAGGAAAGCAGACACGGGUCUGACGUCAGGAGCCUAUCUCUCCCUGAGGGACCCUGGGAGUUCCUGACCGCUCUGUGAGCCUCAGUUUCUCCAUUUACACAACGAGGAGGACCUGAGCUUGAGGGUCCGGGACCAUUUUCAGCUGCGUGUUCCAUGUGCAAUGGCUCUGAUCCGGCCUGCGCACUGACUUCAGGGGUGACCACCAGGUGGCACCCGGCGCCCGGUAAAAAUGCAGCGUGGGCUGGGGAGGG
Long non-coding RNA from Ailuropoda melanoleuca (giant panda), 20870 nucleotides. RefSeq lists it as uncharacterized. The transcript is spliced from 5 exons. The record is from RefSeq and is a predicted model, not a curated record. NCBI's taxonomy places the organism in Eukaryota, Metazoa, Chordata, Mammalia, Carnivora, Ursidae.